RNAcentral lists this ribosomal RNA (253 nucleotides) under uncultured bacterium. Its description in RNAcentral is "partial 16S ribosomal RNA". It matches the Rfam family "Bacterial small subunit ribosomal RNA", at positions 524 to 776 of the family's 1533-position model. The record is from RNAcentral.
UACGUAGGGGGCUAGCGUUGUCCGGAAUCAUUGGGCGUAAAGCGCGCGUAGGCGGCCCGGUGAGUCCGCUGUGAAAGUCGGGGGCUCAACCCUCGGAUGCCGGUGGAUACUGUCGGGCUUGAGUACGGAAGAGGCGAGUGGAAUUCCUGGUGUAGCGGUGAAAUGCGCAGAUAUCAGGAGGAACACCAAUUGCGAAGGCAGCUCGCUGGGACGUUACUGACGCUGAGACGCGAAAGCGUGGGGAGCAAACAGG